RNAcentral lists this RNase P RNA (394 nucleotides) under Acidobacteriota bacterium. RNAcentral describes it as "RNase P RNA component class A". It matches the Rfam family "Bacterial RNase P class A". From Rfam's summary of the family: Ribonuclease P (RNase P) is a ubiquitous endoribonuclease, found in archaea, bacteria and eukarya as well as chloroplasts and mitochondria. Lineage: Bacteria; Pseudomonadati; Acidobacteriota. The record is from RNAcentral.
GGAGAGUUCCAAGCAGUCGCUCUUCGUUUCGACGAAGGGAGGAAAGUCCGAACUCAAACGGGCCACAUGCUCGCUAACGGCGAGGCGCGGUGACGCGACGGAAAGUGCAGCAGAGAGGAGACCGCCCGGGUUCGCCCGGGUAAGGGUGAAAGGGUGCGGUAAGAGCGCACCGCUCGUCCGGCGACGGACGGGGCAAGGUAAACCCCAUGUGGAGCAAGACCAAAUAGGGAAGCGGCUUUCGGGCUGCCCGUCCCGAUCAGCCGUGCCGCCUAGGUGUGGCUGUCCGCUUCCGGGUAGGUCGCAUGAGGCUCUCGGCAACGAGAGUCCCAGAGGAAUGACUGCUGACCGGGCGAUUGCCCGGGAAACAGAAUUCGGCUUACGGAGCUCUCCGGCG